AUGGCUGCGAGGGCCUGCCGAGGGGCGGGCGCGAGUCGGAAAGACACCGACCAGGGAAUGGGCGACGAGGCUUGCCUUAAUUCGGAGGAAACCCAGGACUUGAGAGAGCCAUACAAUUUGAAAGACGAAGCACCGUGAAAUGCAGAAAGUUGUGGUUCGGAUAGCUCAGCUGAUUAAUUUCAUGUUGCCACAGUUUGUCAAACAUGGACAAGAUGGCUGGGGUCCUGUGGAGUUCUAGUAAUCUUCUUACGAUAAUAAAGCAACCUUAUGCCAUAUGAUAUGCUAAGGAUGGAGGAAGAUAGAGUCUAGGUGCCUGAUGACAACAUGGAGCUGUCAAGCCCUGCAUUGCCUCCCCCUGGACGUCUCAUUAUGGGAGAAAAUGAAGCAAUUUGUUUAAGCCACA
RNAcentral lists this long non-coding RNA (403 nucleotides) under Homo sapiens (human). Its description in RNAcentral is "HSALNT0368040". The record is from RNAcentral. Lineage: Eukaryota; Metazoa; Chordata; Mammalia; Primates; Hominidae.